Molecule: long non-coding RNA, 1317 nt
Organism: Heteronotia binoei (common prickly gecko)
Lineage: Eukaryota; Metazoa; Chordata; Lepidosauria; Squamata; Gekkonidae
Exons: 3
Source: RefSeq, a predicted model, not a curated record
GGGCCACUUCCGACGGGACGGGACGGGCGGGCUGUGAAGAGCCGCUCUGUCGGGGAGCAGUCCCACCGCGCGGCGAGGGCAGUCCGGCGACCCAGCAGGAGGCAGCGGCGCUCGAGCGUCGGGGGGGCGGCAGGUUUUGCUCAGCCUGGCCGGGCGAGGCGUGUCCUCGCGUGCACCUGGCCGGGAGCUGCCUGGCCCGGGGCCGGAUCGACGGCGGAGCUAGAGGCCCCACUGGCGGGGAAGCGGGCAGAUGAUGACGGCAGGCAGGGCAGGGCAGGCACGCCGCCUCUCAGCCCCCCUCCCCUCCCCUCCCCUCCCCCAGGGCGCCGAGCCGCAGGGGCUGUAGGACGGGGCCCUCGCCGGAGCAGAUGGUAGGGUACAACUGUGCAGCAGACCCAAGGAAGGAAGCCCCGCGGGCCGUCGCAAGCCAGGCAGCAGCAGCAGAGUUGCUUCACCAGCAGCUGCAACCAGCAGGCGACUUCUCAUUGCAUGACUGAAGCAUUUGCAACUCCUGUUCCCUGGAUCCUAUGCUUUCCCUCCAAAUUCUUCAUUAGACAUCUUGUUUAAGCAGUGAUCUGAGCUGGGAUGGUUGCUACUGAACUUUUUCAUACCCGCCCUGGGGAGCAGUGGAGAGGCCGCGUCCAUGGAUGAAGCUGAAAUCUUCCAGAUGGUGAAAUGCAAAGCAGUCUCCAAACAUUUAACACAUUUUCUCAAAUAUGAUGACUUGGUAACAAAACAGCAAAUGAGAUUCAAUUUACAUGAACAAGGAAGGUAACUGAGAUUAAACAAAAAACUUGGUGGGCUCUGAACUGGUUCGGACUAUCCAGGAAAACAGCUCAGUGGCGAUAAACAGGCUUCCUCAUGCCAAUGUCAGACAGGCCACAGAGCAGAAGAGUCACACCAGUCCUCAGAAUUCUGGAUGCAGGCGGGCUCUGCACAUGGAUGCAAAUGUUUGCCACCAGCAGCCGUGGGCUCCUUCACGUGCCUGAUCUUGCCCUGACUCCCGCCACAUCAAGAGGGAAGCAAUUUCCUUUCAGGCAUUGAUGAAUCCAGCCUCUGUAGCCCAGGGCAGUCACUGCGGGGCCCAGCCCAGGCCCAGAGUCCUUCAGGGAGCAUGACGAGCAGCAGGAGCCAGUUGCUACCUCUGCAGGUGAAGGGGCAUGCAUGCCCUCCUAAGCUAGGAAAAAAGGUGGAAUGCCUCUCUUGACUGGAGUGGCAAACGACAGCUGGUUUUUAUAAACAGUAUCAUCAGAACUAAUUUACAUUUUUUUAAAAAAUGUUAAUGGGGAUAAAAUUUAAAUGAUCAAAAUAUUUCAA